This 496-nucleotide ribosomal RNA is filed under the name uncultured bacterium. RNAcentral describes it as "partial 16S ribosomal RNA". It matches the Rfam family "Bacterial small subunit ribosomal RNA", at positions 28 to 506 of the family's 1533-position model. The record is from RNAcentral.
GAUGAACGCUGGCGGCGUGCCUAAUACAUGCCAGUCGAGCGAACGGACGAGAAGCUUGCUUCUCUGAUGUUAGCGGCGGACGGGUGAGUAACACGUGGAUAACCUACCUAUAAGACUGGGAUAACUUCGGGAAACCGGAGCUAAUACCGGAUGAUAUUUUGAACCGCAUGGUUCAAAAGUGAAAGACGGUCUUGCUGUCACUUAUAGAUGGAUCCGCGCUGCAUUAGCUAGUUGGUAAGGUAACGGCUUACCAAGGCAACGAUGCAUAGCCGACCUGAGAGGGUGAUCGGCCACACUGGAACUGAGACACGGUCCAGACUCCUACGGGAGGCAGCAGUAGGGAAUCUUCCGCAAUGGGCGAAAGCCUGACGGAGCAACGCCGCGUGAGUGAUGAAGGUCUUCGGAUCGUAAAACUCUGUUAUUAGGGAAGAACAUAUGUGUAAGUAACUGUGCACAUCUUGACGGUACCUAAUCAGGAAGCCACGGCUAACUACGU